AUUUUCUCCUUCUCUACGUAACAAGAUCACACUAGCAACUAUGAAAUGUAUCCCCACAGGGCUUAAGAGUCAUUUUAAACAAUAAUUUUCAUUUAUCUAUACAAUGAUACAAUAAAAUAAGGAUGACUCAGUGUGCAAAGCAUCCCACACUUGUGGGCUUUGGGGAGGGUUUAUGUAUUCAACGUUACCCCCAAUUUGUAUAGAAGUUGUUUCAGUCGCUCGAAUCCAUGACCUCCAAGUCACAUGUGGAGUAGCUGAGUAGCUUUACCAUUACACCAAAGCCACCCUCACAAUGAGACAAUAAAAGGAACGAAAAUUAAGAAGGACAUAUCAGCUCUACUGACCUGAGAAAGU
Molecule: unclassified non-coding RNA, 354 nt
Filed under: Hevea brasiliensis (rubber tree)
Lineage: Eukaryota; Viridiplantae; Streptophyta; Magnoliopsida; Malpighiales; Euphorbiaceae
Source: RNAcentral